AUUCAAACACCGGUUUUAGUACGAUCACCGAAGUUAAGCAACGUCGAGUCUGGUUGUACUUAGAUGGGUGACUACUUGGAAAUUCCAGCUGCUAC
Acanthosepion pharaonis is the source of this 95-nucleotide non-coding RNA. The record is from the annotation of a GenBank genome assembly. Lineage: Eukaryota; Metazoa; Mollusca; Cephalopoda; Sepiida; Sepiidae.